This 247-nucleotide ribosomal RNA is filed under the name uncultured bacterium. RNAcentral describes it as "partial 16S ribosomal RNA". It matches the Rfam family "Bacterial small subunit ribosomal RNA", at positions 523 to 769 of the family's 1533-position model. The record is from RNAcentral.
AUACGUAGGUGGCGAGCGUUGUCCGGAAUCAUUGGGCGUAAAGAGCGCGUAGGUGGCUUGUCAGGUCUGAUGUGAAAACUUGGGGCUCAACCCCAAGCCUGCAUCGGAAACCGGCUUGCUAGAGUCUGGGAGAGGAGAGUGGAAUUCCUGGUGUAGCGGUGAAAUGCGUAGAUAUCAGGAGGAACACCGGUAGCGAAGGCGGCUCUCUGGAACAGUACUGACGCUGAGGCGCGAAAGCUAGGGGAGC